This is a long non-coding RNA of Oncorhynchus keta (chum salmon), 3025 nucleotides long. RefSeq lists it as uncharacterized. The record is from RefSeq and is a predicted model, not a curated record. The transcript has 4 exons. Lineage: Eukaryota; Metazoa; Chordata; Actinopteri; Salmoniformes; Salmonidae.
AGUCCAAUUACGUGAAUUCCAUUUAGUUCUGUUUUUUUUGUGAGCCCAACGUGCUAUUUCUCUAGAGAGAAAUCAACUCCAUGUGGAACACUGGGCUGAAGGGAGUUGUAGUUUUCAUUAAACAAAUAUUCAACCUAGUUCAGCGCAAAAAAUGUGCUAAUUAACUACAAUGACCAUUAAUCCAUUGCCUUACAACAGGCCUACAAGCCCUCAGUCCAGCCUCUCUCAGCUUAUUACGGACAGUCUGAGCACUGAUGGAGGGAUUGUGCGUUCCUGGUGUAACUCGGGCUGUUGUUAUUGCCAUCCUGUACCUGUCCCACAGGUGUGGUGUUUGGAUGUACCGAUCCUGUGCAGGUGUUGUUACACGUGAUCUGCCACUGCGAGGAUGAUCAGCUGUCCGUCCUGUCUCCUUGUAGCGCUGUAUUAGGCGUCUCACAGUACGUACAUUGCAAUUUAUUGGCCUGGCCACAUCUACAGUCCUCAUGUCUCCUUGCAGCAUGCCUAAGGCACGAUCACGCAGAUGAGCAGGGACCCUGGGCAUCUUUCUUUUGGUGUUUUUCAGAGUCAGUAGAAAGGCCUCUUUAGUGUCCUAAGUUUUCAUAACUGUGACCUUUAAUUGCCUACUGUCUGAAAGCUGUUAGUGUCUUAAUGCCUGUCACAUUAGACCAGGUUCAUUAGACCAGGUUCCUCUCCUAGCCUAUCACAUUAGACCAGGUUCCUCUCCUAGCCUGUCACAUUAGACCAGGUUCCUCUCCCAGCCUGUCACAUUAGACCAGGUUCCUCUCCCAGCCUGUCACAUUAGACCAGGUUCCUCUCCCUCUCCUAGCCUGUCACAUUAGACCAGGUUCCUCUCCCAGCCUGUCACAUUAGACCAGGUUCCUCUCCCUCUCCAAGCCUGUCACAUUAGACCAGGUUCCUCUCCCUCUCCCAGCAUGUCACAUUAGACCAGGUUCCUCUCCCAGCCUGUCACAUUAGACCAGGUUCCUCUCCCUCUCCUAGCCUGUCACAUUAGACCAGGUUCCUCUCCCUCCCCAAGCCUGUCACAUUAGACCAGGUCCCUCUCCCUCUCCUAGUCUGUUCCUCUCCCAGCCUGUCACAUUAGACCAGGUUCCUCUCCCUCUCCUAGCCUGUCACAUUAGACCAGGUUCCUCUCCCUCUCCAAGCCUGUCACAUUAGACCAGGUUCCUCUCCCUCUCCCAGCCUGUCACAUUAGACCAGGUUCCUCUCCCAGCCUGUCACAUUAGACCAGGUUCCUCUCCCUCUCCUAGCCUGUCACAUUAGACCAGGUUCCUCUCCCUCUCCAAGCCUGUCACAUUAGACCAGGUUCCUCUCCCUCUCCCUCUCCCAGCCUGUCACAUUAGACCAGGUUCCUCUCCCUCUCCUAGCCUGUCACAUUAGACCAGGUUCCUCUCCCAGCCUGUCACAUUAGACCAGGUUCCUCUCCCUCUCCAAGCCUGUCACAUUAGACCAGGUUCCUCUCCCUCUCCCAGCAUGUCACAUUAGACCAGGUUCCUCUCCCAGCCUGUCACAUUAGACCAGGUUCCUCUCCCUCUCCUAGCCUGUCACAUUAGACCAGGUUCCUCUCCCUCCCCAAGCCUGUCACAUUAGACCAGGUCCCUCUCCCUCUCCUAGUCUGUUCCUCUCCCAGCCUGUCACAUUAGACCAGGUUCCUCUCCCUCUCCUAGCCUGUCACAUUAGACCAGGUUCCUCUCCCUCUCCAAGCCUGUCACAUUAGACCAGGUUCCUCUCCCUCUCCCAGCCUGUCACAUUAGACCAGGUUCCUCUCCCAGCCUGUCACAUUAGACCAGGUUCCUCUCCCUCUCCUAGCCUGUCACAUUAGACCAGGUUCCUCUCCCUCUCCAAGCCUGUCACAUUAGACCAGGUUCCUCUCCCUCUCCCAGCCUGUCACAUUAGACCAGGUUCCUCUCCCAGCCUGUCACAUUAGACCAGGUUCCUCUCCCAGCCUGUCACAUUAGACCAGGUUCCUCUCCCAGCCUGUCACAUUAGACCAGGUUCCUCUCCCAGCCUGUCACAUUAGACCAGGUUCCUCUCCCAGCCUGUCACAUUAGACCAGGUUCCUCUCCCAGCCUGUCACAUUAGACCAGGUUCCUCUCCCAGCCUGUCACAUUAGACCAGGUUCCUCUCCCAGCCUGUCACAUUAGACCAGGUUCCUCUCCCAGCCUGUCACAUUAGACCAGGUUCCUCUCCCUCUCCAAGCCUGUCACAUUAGACCAGGUUCCUCUCCCUCUCCAAGCCUGUCACAUUAGACCAGGUUCCUCUCCCUCUCCCAGCCUGUCACAUUAGACCAGGUUCCUCUCCCAGCCUGUCACAUUAGACCAGGUUCCUCUCCCAGCCUGUCACAUUAGACCAGGUUCCUCUCCCAGCCUGUCACAUUAGACCAGGUUCCUCUCCCAGCCUGUCACAUUAGACCAGGUUCCUCUCCCAGCCUGUCACAUUAGACCAGGUUCCUCUCCCAGCCUGUCACAUUAGACCAGGUCCCUCUCCCAGCCUGUCACAUUAGACCAGGUUCCUCUCCCUCUCCAAGCCUGUCACAUUAGACCAGGUUCCGCUCCCUCUCUGCAUCUGUAGGUGUCAGUUGAUGAAGGAUAGAGGACUGUCAAAUCAGACUGGGGUCCUUUCUGCAUCAGCCGGCCAGAGAGGGUUAGAGGUCAACCUGCCAUCACCUCUGAUGUCAUUAAGGACUCAUGAUUGGUUUAGCUGAAAUGCUACCCUCUCCUUCUAAUCUAAUAGAAAGCCCUGAUAGGAGAAGCUCAGGGAGGUCAUUUAGUGCAAUUUAACCUGAAUGGAUGAUCUUCCUGCUGAAGAUGACAGUCCAGUAGACAUGGACAUAUAGAUGCUUAGCUACAUCACAUACAAACGCUUGAUAGUGUAUUACUUAUUGUUCAGAACAGUAUGAUUUUAUUGUGCUGCAUAGAUUAUAUCCUAUAAUUCAACACUUGUGUUUGUUAUGCAUUUAUAAAUUGUGUGGAGUUUCAAUGGUCAAUGGCUGAGUAUUCUGAUCAAU